Molecule: ribosomal RNA, 483 nt
Filed under: uncultured bacterium
Lineage: Bacteria
Description: partial 16S ribosomal RNA
Rfam family: Bacterial small subunit ribosomal RNA
Source: RNAcentral
GACGAACGCUGGCGGCGUGCUUAACACAUGCAAGUCGAACGAUGAAAGUGGAGCUUGCUCCGCUGGAUUAGUGGCGAACGGGUGAGUAACACGUGGGCAACCUGCCCCAGACUCUGGGAUAACUCCUCGAAAGAGGUGCUAAUACCGGAUACGAACUCCUUGGGCAUCCUUGGAGUUGGAAAGUUUUUCGGUCUGGGAUGGGCCCGCGGCCUAUCAGCUUGUUGGUGGGGUAGUGGCCCACCAAGGCGACGACGGGUAGCCGGCCUGAGAGGGCGACCGGCCACACUGGGACUGAGACACGGCCCAGACUCCUACGGGAGGCAGCAGUGGGGAAUAUUGCGCAAUGGGCGAAAGCCCGACGCAGCGACGCCGCGUGAGGGAUGACGGCCUUCGGGUUGUAAACCUCUUUCAGCAGGGAAGAAGCGAAAGUGACGGUACCUGCAGAAGAAGCACCGGCUAACUACGUGCCAGCAGCCGCGGUAA